GAUGAACGCUAGCGGGAGGCUUAACACAUGCAAGUCGAGGGGCAGCAUAAUGUAGCAAUACGUUGAUGGCGACCGGCGCACGGGUGAGUAACGCGUAUGCAACCUACCCUGUACAGUGGGAUAACCCGGAGAAAUUCGGACUAAUACCGCAUAAAGACAGAUAAGGGCAUCCUUAUCUAUUUAAAGCUGAGGCGGUACGGGAUGGGCAUGCGUAACAUUAGCUAGUUGGCAGGGUAACGGCCUACCAAGGCUACGAUGUUUAGGGGACCUGAGAGGGUGAUCCCCCACACUGGUACUGAGACACGGACCAGACUCCUACGGGAGGCAGCAGUGAGGAAUAUUGGUCAAUGGGCGCAAGCCUGAACCAGCCAUCCCGCGUGCAGGAAGAAUGCCCUAUGGGUUGUAAACUGCUUUUCCAGGGGGAGAACAUCUCCGACGUGUCGGGGUUGACGGUACC
RNAcentral lists this ribosomal RNA (457 nucleotides) under uncultured Bacteroidota bacterium. Its description in RNAcentral is "bacterial SSU rRNA". It matches the Rfam family "Bacterial small subunit ribosomal RNA", at positions 28 to 479 of the family's 1533-position model. Lineage: Bacteria; Pseudomonadati; Bacteroidota. The record is from RNAcentral.